This 426-nucleotide ribosomal RNA is filed under the name uncultured bacterium. Its description in RNAcentral is "bacterial SSU rRNA". It matches the Rfam family "Bacterial small subunit ribosomal RNA", at positions 32 to 451 of the family's 1533-position model. The record is from RNAcentral.
AAUCAACGCUGGCGGCGUGCCUCAGACAUGCAAGUCGAACGAUUAAAGCUCUCUUCGGAGAGUGUAUAGAGUGGCGCACGGGUGAGUAACACGUAAGUAAUCUACCUUCGAGCGGGGAAUAACGUCCGGAACGGACGCUAAUACCGCAUAAUGCAGCGGCAUCGCAAGAUGACAGUUGUUAAAGAUUUAUCGCUUGAAGAGGAGCUUGCGGCGGAUUAGCUAGUUGGUAAGGUAAUGGCUUACCAAGGCUACGAUCUGUAACCGGUCUAAGAGGACGGUCGGUCACACUGACACUGAAUAACGGGUCAGACUCCUACGGGAGGCAGCAGUCGGGAAUUUUGGGCAAUGGGCGAAAGCCUGACCCAGCAACGCCGCGUGAAGGAUGAAGUAUUUCGGUAUGUAAACUUCGAAAGAAUGGGAAGAAUC